AUUGAACGCUGGCGGAAUGCUUUACACAUGCAAGUCGAGCGGCAGCGCGGGGGCAACCCUGGCGGCGAGCGGCGAACGGGUGAGUAAGACAUCGGAACGUACCCAGAUGUGGGGGAUAGCUCGGCGAAAGCCGGAUUAAUACCGCAUACGACCUGAGGGUGAAAGUGGGGGACCGCAAGGCCUCACGCGUUUGGAGCGGCCGAUGGCGGAUUAGCUAGUUGGUGGGGUAAAGGCCUACCAAGGCGACGAUCCGUAGCUGGUCUGAGAGGACGACCAGCCACACUGGGACUGAGACACGGCCCAGACUCCUACGGGAGGCAGCAGUGGGGAAUUUUGGACAAUGGGGGCAACCCUGAUCCAGCCAUUCCGCGUGAGUGAAGAAGGCCUUCGGGUUGUAAAGCUCUUUCGGCAGGAACGAAACGGUGAGGGCUAAUACCUCUUAUCAAUGACGGUACCUGAAGAAGAAGCACCGGCUAACUACGUGCCAGCAGCCGCGGUAAUACGUAGGGUGCGAGCGUUAAUCGGAAUUACUGGGCGUAAAGCGUGCGCAGGCGGUUUUGUAAGACAGGUGUGAAAUCCCCGGGCUCAACCUGGGAAUGGCGCUUGUGACUGCAAGACUGGAGUACGGCAGAGGGGGGUGGAAUUCCACGUGUAGCAGUGAAAUGCGUAGAGAUGUGGAGGAACACCGAUGGCGAAAGGCAGCCCCCUGGGCCAGUACUGACGCUCAUGCACGAAAAGCGUGGGUAGCAAACAGGAUUAGAUACCCUGGUAGUCCACGCCCUAAACGAUGCCAAACUAGGUGUUGGAGAAGGAGACUUCUUUUAGUACCGUAGCUAACGCGUGAAGUUGGCCGCCUGGGGAGUACGGUCGCAAGAUUAAAACUCAAAGGAAUUGACGGGGACCCGCACAAGCGGUGGAUGAUGUGGAUUAAUUCGAUGCAACGCGAAAAACCUUACCUACCCUUGACAUGCCAGGAAUCCUGCUGAGAGGUGGGAGUGCCCGAAAGGGAGCCGGGACACAGGUGCUGCAUGGCUGUCGUCAGCUCGUGUCGUGAGAUGUUGGGUUAAGUCCCGCAACGAGCGCAACCCUUGUCAUUAGUUGCCAUCAUUUAGUUGGGCACUCUAAUGAGACUGCCGGUGACAAACCGGAGGAAGGUGGGGAUGACGUCAAGUCCUCAUGGCCCUUAUGGGUAGGGCUUCACACGUCAUACAAUGGUCGGUACAGAGGGUUGCCAAGCCGCGAGGUGGAGCCAAUCCCAGAAAGCCGAUCGUAGUCCGGAUUGCAGUCUGCAACUCGACUGCAUGAAGUCGGAAUCGCUAGUAAUCGUGGAUCAGCAUGCCACGGUGAAUACGUUCCCGGGUCUUGUACACACCGCCCGUCACACCAUGGGAGUGGGUUUCACCAGAAGUGGGUAGCCUAACCGCGAGGGGGGCGCUUACCACGGUGGGAUUCAUGACUGGGGUG
RNAcentral lists this ribosomal RNA (1464 nucleotides) under uncultured beta proteobacterium. RNAcentral describes it as "bacterial SSU rRNA". It matches the Rfam family "Bacterial small subunit ribosomal RNA". The record is from RNAcentral. Lineage: Bacteria; Pseudomonadati; Pseudomonadota; Betaproteobacteria.